CCUACGGGUGGCAGCAGUGAGGAAUAUUGGUCAAUGGUCGGGAGACUGAACCAGCCAAGCCGCGUGAGGGAGGAAGGUACAGAGUAUCGUAAACCUCUUUUGUCAGGGAACAAAGGCGGGGCCGUGUCCCCGGAUGAGUGUACCUGAAGAAAAAGCAUCGGCUAACUCCAUGCCAGCAGCCGCGGUAAUACGGAGAAUGCGAGCGUUAUCCGGAUUUAUUGGGUUUAAAGGGUGGGCGGGGGGUCUGCUAAGUCAGCGGUCAAAGCCCGGGGCUCAACCCCGGCCAGCCGUUGAAACUGGCAGUCUCGAGUUGGAGAGAGGGAUGCGGAAUGCGCGGUGUAGCGGUGAAAUGCAUAGAUAUCGCGCAGAACUCCGAUUGCGAAGGCAGCAUGCCGGCUCCACACUGACGCUGAGGCACGAAAGCGUGGGUAUCGAACAGGAUUAGAUACCCGGGUAGUC
RNAcentral lists this ribosomal RNA (459 nucleotides) under uncultured bacterium. Its description in RNAcentral is "partial 16S ribosomal RNA". It matches the Rfam family "Bacterial small subunit ribosomal RNA", at positions 338 to 795 of the family's 1533-position model. The record is from RNAcentral.